GCUGGCCCAGGAUGCAGGGGUUCUGAGAGAGAAGGCUGUGACUGCUGCCAAAUGAAGCCCGGCUUCAUAGAAAAUGAAACGCACAAAUACCAGAGGAAAAAGGAACAAACAAACAAAAGGAUUUGCUGGAUCCUUCCAACAAACACCAAAGAGGAGAGUUAAGCUGUUUCAUCUGUGAAAUGUGGAGAAGGAUUUCUGAUGAUGCUCACCUCAGAGAAGACUUGGGAAGCCAGAUAGAGGACUCCUGCAGGUAUUACAGAAAUUCAGAGGACUGCCAUCAUUUUAAUUCUAUUAUGUCUGAUAACACCACGAUUCCUGAAGGUACACAGAAAAGCCACAAAAUGAUUGGUACGGUUGCCACUGAUUCAGGUGAGAUAAGAACUUGCAAGGUGUUAAAUUGUUGUGAACCCUAAAUCCAGUCUCUGGAUUGAAGCCACUCAUAAGUAGCAUUGCAUCUAGUCAUGAUUACUCAACGGGGCUCUUAGGUACAAGACAAAGGAGAUUCAUGGAAUAUUUGA
Vombatus ursinus (common wombat) is the source of this 518-nucleotide long non-coding RNA. RefSeq lists it as uncharacterized. The transcript has 3 exons. The record is from RefSeq and is a predicted model, not a curated record. Lineage: Eukaryota; Metazoa; Chordata; Mammalia; Diprotodontia; Vombatidae.